GACGAACGCUGGCGGCGUGCCUAAUACAUGCAAGUAGAACGCUGAAGGAGGAGCUUGCUUCUCUGGAUGAGUUGCGAACGGGUGAGUAACGCGUAGGUAACCUGCCUGGUAGCGGGGGAUAACUAUUGGAAACGAUAGCUAAUACCGCAUAAUAGUAGAUGUUGCAUGACAUUUGCUUCAAAGGUGCAAUUGCAUCACUACCAGAUGGACCUGCGUUGUAUUAGCUAGUUGGUGGGGUAACGGCUCACCAAGGCGACGAUACAUAGCCGACCUGAGAGGGUGAUCGGCCACACUGGGACUGAGACACGGCCCAGACUCCUACGGGAGGCAGCAGUAGGGAAUCUUCGGCAAUGGACGGAAGUCUGACCGAGCAACGCCGCGUGAGUGAAGAAGGGUUUCGGAUCGUAAAGCUCUGUUGUAAGAGAAGAACGAGUGUGAGAGUGGAAAGUUCACACUGUGACGGUAUCUUACCAGAAAGGGACGGCUAACUACGUG
Molecule: ribosomal RNA, 495 nt
Filed under: uncultured bacterium
Lineage: Bacteria
Description: partial 16S ribosomal RNA
Rfam family: Bacterial small subunit ribosomal RNA
Source: RNAcentral